GGAGGUCCUCCGAGCAUCAGGCCUCAUUCCGACACAGAAGGAGGGGGUUCUCUCAGCACCUAGCAUCAUUGCUCAGAGGGAGGAGAUGUUCCGAGCAUCAGGCCUCAUCCCGUCACAGAGGGAAGGGAUUCUUCCAGCAUCUUCUAUCACUGCGCAGAAGAAGAAGAUCCUCAGAGCAUCAGGCCUCAUCCUUGCACAAAAGGAGUUGAUCCUCCUGAUGGCCAGUGUCACUGCGCAGAGGAAGGGAAUCGUCCCAAUGGCCAGCGUCCCUGCGCACAGGGAGGGGAUUGUCCCAAAGGCUAGUAUCUCUGCUGAGAGGAAUGGGAUCCUCCAAACAGCUAGUAUACCUGCACAGAGGGAGGGGGUUCUCCCAGCAGCUAGCAUCACUGUGCAGAGGGAGGAGAUCCUCCGAGCAUCAGGUCUCAUCCCGUCACAGAGGGAGGGUAUCCUCCAAACAGCCAGUGUCCCUGCACAGAGGGAGGUUAUCCUCCCAACAGCCAGUGUCCCUGCACAGAGGGAGGGGAUCCUCCAAACAGCCAGUGUCCCUGUACAGACGGAGGGUAUCCUCCAAACAGCCAGUGUCCCUGUACAGAGGGAGGUUAUCCUCCCAACAGCCAGUGUCCCUGCACAGAGGGAGGGGAUCCUCCAAACAGCCAGUGUCCCUGUACAGACGGAGGGGAUCCUCCAAACAGCCAGUGUCCCUGUACAGAGGGAGGGGAUCCUCCAAACAGCCAGUGUCCCUGCACAGAGGGAGGGGAUCCUCCAAACAGCCAGUGUCCCUGUACAGAGGGAGGGUAUCCUCCAAACAGCCAGUGUCCCUGUACAGACGGAGGGUAUCCUCCAAACAGCCAGUGUCCCUGUACAGAGGGAGGGGAUCCUCCAAACAGCCAGUAUACCUGCACAGAGGGAGGGGGUUCUCCCAGCAGCUAGCAUCAUUGCUCAGAGGGAGGAGAUGUUCCGAGCAUCAGGCCUCAUUCCGUCACAGAGGGAAGGGAUUCUUCCAGCAUCUUCUAUCACUGCGCAGAAGAAGAAGAUCCUCAGAGCAUCAGGCCUCAUCCUUGCACAAAAGGAGUUGAUCCUCCUGAUGGCCAGUGUCACUGCGCAGAGGAAGGGAAUCGUCCCAAUGGCCAGCGUCCCUGCGCACAGAGAGGGGAUUGUCCCAAAGGCAAGUGUCUCUGCUGAGAUGGAGGGGAUCUUCCAAACAGCCAGUGUACCUGCACAGAGGGAGGGGGUUCUCCCAGCAGCUAGCAUCACUGUGCAGAGGGAGGAGAUCCUCCGAGCAUCAGGCCUCAUCCCUGCACAGAGGGAGAGGAUCCUCCAAACAGCCAGUGUCACUGCACAGAGGGAGGAGAUCCUCCGAGCAUCAGGCCUCAUCCCUGCACAGACGGAGGGGAUCCUCCAAACAGCCAGUGUCCCUGCACAGAGGGAGGGGAUUCUCUCAGCAGCUAGCAUCACUGCGCAGAGGGAGGAGAUCCUCCGAGCAUCAGGCCUCAUCCCUGCACAGAGGGAGUUGAUCCUCCAGAAGGCCAGCGUCCCUGCGCACAGGGAGUGGAUCGUCCCAAAGGCUAGUGUCCCUGCAGAGAGGCAGGAGAUCUUCCUCACAACCAGUGUCCCUGUGAAGAAUGGACACAAUCAUCCACAACCACCUCCCAUCAUCCCCAUGGUGGCACCACUGUGGAAAUGGGAUGGUGCAGCGUGUACUCCACCUGUGGAUUUCUAUUCCAAGAGAAGAGAUGUCCGACUUAGAUAUGUUGAGCAUCCUGCUAUGAUGUCCAUCACCAAGCCGGAACACUCCGAGGCCACUUCUCAGUGCCAGACUGGCAGCCGGCCGGUGGCUGAGCCCGAGACCCCUGCUGUUCACAAUAACAGUGGAGGCUGGCUCAGCUGGGUUUUUGGGAGGGGAAGAUUUAAUAAGAAGGAGGUUCAUCUACCUGAGGACAAAGACAGAUCUAUUGUCUGGGAUCCAACUCUGCACAGAUGGGUUAACAAAACUGAGCCCAAGGCUGAGAACAAGUGUGUACCACCACCUCCACCGAUGGGGACAUAUGGAUAUCAGGGGAACACUGGCCCCAAAGGAGUGAAUCCUUACUCUAUGAAAGCAGCAGGUCUAUGGGGCAGCAAAUACCCUACAAUACAUUACAAUGAUGGGACCAACUCAAAGCCUCCAAGCCAUGGGCCUGGACUGCUUCCUAGACAGCUCUCUGGCUUGCUCCCUCCUUCACACGUUGACCUCAUGGCACCAAUGGUUGUGCCACCUGACACUCUACCCUACUGAGCGGGACAUCGCCCUCACCUUCGACCAGCUGGAGGACCUGUCCAUUCGGCUGGAUAACCUGCUGGCUACCCAAAGACGUCCAGACCUCUGCGACCAUCUGUGGCCGCAGAGGUCACACUGCCGGUCAGUGCCGGGUUUGUUCCUCUGGGGGUCGAGGCAGCAGGCAGGGCACUCUGGCGUCACCCCAGGCUGGUGGUAGCUGGUCCCCUGCAGGACGGUGAGGUUCCGGAGGUCCCUCCGCCCCCUCUGGACAUCGAGGGGUCCCCGGCGUACACGAUACGGCCCAUUCUGGACUCAAGAUGCCGGGUGAGGGGCCUGCAGUACCUUGUGGGCUGUGAGAGGUACGGGCCGGAGGAGAGGUGCUGGUGGGACCCAGCACAUAUUGGAUCCAUCUAUGCUGAGGGAAUUCCAUCGCCUCCAUUCGGAUCGCCCGGCGCCUCGCCCUCCGGGUCGUCCUCGAGGCCGGUGUCGGCGGGGGGGGGGGGUACUGUCACGAAUAUCACCGAAGGUGGCUCCUCUUCCCGUUCGUGUGGUGCUCGGCGGUCGUCGUCGCCGGUCUACUAGCUGCUACCAAUCCCUUUUUCCCUUUUUGUUUUGUUGGGUCUAAUUGGUUUCACCUGUUCCUUGUUUGGGGUUAUUUAAGUUCAGUUAGCCCGCCUGUGUUCGUGCGGGAUUGUUUUGCUGUAUUUGGUAUAGGAGUGUUUCUGUUAUUUGGAUUGUCCGCUGUACAGCGUAUGUGCCUGUGUAGUGCAUUAUUUUGGAGUGUUUUACGCCUGUGUUCGGUGUCACCCUCUUUGUGCGCGGUUAUUGUAAGGAAUAAAGUGUUUUUUCCCGAA
Salvelinus fontinalis (brook trout) is the source of this 3111-nucleotide RNA transcript. It is a transcript of the gene named microtubule-actin cross-linking factor 1, isoforms 6/7-like, with no coding region annotated. The record is from RefSeq and is a predicted model, not a curated record. NCBI's taxonomy places the organism in Eukaryota, Metazoa, Chordata, Actinopteri, Salmoniformes, Salmonidae. The transcript has 7 exons.